This 358-nucleotide unclassified non-coding RNA is filed under the name Sciodaphyllum herzogii. Its description in RNAcentral is "Schefflera herzogii partial may contain external transcribed spacer and 18S ribosomal RNA". The record is from RNAcentral. Lineage: Eukaryota; Viridiplantae; Streptophyta; Magnoliopsida; Apiales; Araliaceae.
AGCGACGUCNACUCUCACAUCCCUUUUCAUUCUUGCUCCAAGAGCAAUAUGCCUUGGACCAAUUCGGUUGCCUGUGUUGUAUACCUACGUUGAUGGAAUUCGCUCGUCCAAUCGCCCCUUAUUCACCUUGUGCUGCUUACGCGGUGCAGGAUGAACCAUGCAGUGUCCUUUGUUGGGCAUUCUUGCCCUGCGUUCGCGCGAUGCAGGAAAUGGCCAAUGUCUGACACUCGAAUUCUCGGAUACGGAACCUUAAGCGGGCAACGGGUCUUUGGCCUUGAUUUGCCCAAACUAAGUUCUUACGAACGACUGUCGUGCCCGUUUUGACCUGAGGAUGCUUUUGGUCCGACUGGCUCAUGCG